UACGGAGGAUCCGAGCGUUAUCCUGAUUUAUUGGGUUUAAAGGGUGCGCAGGCGGGAGAUUAAGUCGGCGGUGAAAUUUUGCAGCUCAACUGUAAAAGUGCCUUCGAAACUGGUUUCCUUGAGUGUGGAUGAAGUAGGCGGAAUUUGUGGUGUAGCGGUGAAAUGCAUAGAUAUCACGAGGAACUCCGAUUGCGCAGGCAGCUUACUAAACCAUAACUGACGCUCAGGCACGAAGGCGUGGGGAUCAAACAGGAUUAGAUACCCCU
Molecule: ribosomal RNA, 266 nt
Filed under: uncultured prokaryote
Description: partial 16S ribosomal RNA
Rfam family: Bacterial small subunit ribosomal RNA
Source: RNAcentral